Alexandromys fortis (reed vole) is the source of this 2364-nucleotide long non-coding RNA. RefSeq lists it as uncharacterized. The transcript has 3 exons. Lineage: Eukaryota; Metazoa; Chordata; Mammalia; Rodentia; Cricetidae. The record is from RefSeq and is a predicted model, not a curated record.
GAUCUUUCUACAUAAUCCUGGCUGUCCUGAAAUUCGCUAUGUAGACCAGGCUGACCUCAAACUGCCUGCCUCUGUCUAGAUUGCUGGAUUAAAGGUGUGCACAACCACGCCCAGCAAAGAUUCUGGAGCUCAAGCACACAGCUCUGACUGGAGGGCAUGGACCCCGGAAUCCACAUUUCCAUAAAUGUUCUGACGCUGCUGGCCCAGGACCACCGAUGGUUUGAGCAGUAACGUGGGCUCAACUGCAGGUGGCAUCAUCAGAGCUAGAAGACCAUCAGGAUGUGUCAGCAGGGUGAGCUGGUCAGCAUGCUUCCCAGCCAUUGGCUUGCAGGUAAGGCUCUCCACUGGGCAGUUUUAUUUCUUCCCAGCAGAGUCUGGGGUCCCCAACAGAAAGCAGCUGCCCACAUUAAAACUUCAUGGACCAAGGAAUUAGGCUACAUCACUUCUUCCUUGUCCUAUCCAUCAACUUGUUCAGAGGCCCAGGAGAGGGAACAUACACACCCAUCAGAAACUAGAGCAAACCUGCUUUAGAACUAUCAGACUUCUAUAUCACUCAGCUUCAGCACCCUUUUAACAGUCGUUUUGCUUGUAUUUUUCAUGUUUUAUUUGCUAUGUCCCAGGAAUAAUAAAUCAGUUCCUUCUAUUUUAGCACCAUGUUCCUUUGUGCUAGGGCUUCAUGAACCAGCCUCUUUGUCCUACACAGGAACCUCUGAGAGUUAAAUAGUUUCAUAUUCUUGUGCUUGUUUAUUUUGAGUCUGUGUUAAGAUAGCACUUUCCUAUGCAGACCAGACUGUUGUGGAAUAUUACUGUAACUAUGUGAAGAUGUGUUCCAUUUGUAAUGCUGUAUUUGUUUAACUAUGUGAAGAUGUCCUGCUUUUGUUUGUGCUGCAUUUAAUUUGUAAAGAUUUGUAAAUGUCUGUUUGUAAAGAUGUUGUGUUUAUGCCGCACUUGUAAAGAUGUGUUGCUGUUUUACCUUGUCUACCUCAGGCACAUGACUGGUCUAAUAAAAAGCUGAGCAGUCGAUAGCUAAACAUUAGAGGGCUAGGUGGAGCUGGCAGAGAUAAUAAAUAGGAGGCAUCUCAAGGAGAGAGGGAGACACCAGGAGCCAGACAGGCACAGAGGAUGCAGGAAAAUAGGAUAGUAGUAAGUCUCCAUGUCAUAAUUUGGGGUCGAGGUCCAAGACUGCCUGCUACACAAGAAACAAAAGUGCUUAUGUUGGGUUCUUGUUGUUUUCAGAUCUUUGAAAUAUGCCAUACACAUGAAGAUCAGAUAAAGAUUAGGUGUGAGAUCUCCUAGAGCUGAAGUUAUAUGCCAAUGCUUAUAAUAACCACCAAGCAUCCCUCCAGCCUACCCUGUUUUAAGGUACUGCCCUCUAGGUCUUUUCCACAGCUGAAACCAUUAGCACGUCUGCCAUGUCAUUCUACAGUAUGUUAGCUCAAACCUUAAGGCCCUUGCAGUUCUACAUCAUGAACUGCAUUAAUUUGUGGCCAAAAUCAGUUUUUCAAAACUACUGGAUUUUACUACAUUUUAAAUUUGUUAUUCAAUAGCUGAGCAAUAGUAGUUAUUUUUAGAUAUAUGGAUGUUUUGCCAGCAUGCAUAUCUGUACCACUUCUGUGUCUCGUGCAUGAAGGGACUAGAGGAGGGAGUUACACGUGGCUGUGAACCACCCAUGUGGGUGCUGGAAAUGAAACCCAGGUUCUCAGGAAGAGCGGCCAGUGCUCUCAAACACAGAGCCAUCUGCCCAUCACCCAGGCAGUCAUUUUUUUAUAUAUUAGGCUUGGUGUGGUGGGACAGGCCAGAUCCCAGAGGCAGAAUGAUUCUAGAGCCCCAGGCCAACCUAGACUACGUAGUAACUGUCUUACAAAACAAACAUGCAUACCCAGACUAGAAGCAUAAGGGCUUGUGCGGCAAGGUAUCUCACACCUUUAAUCACAGCACUCAGGAGGCAGAUCUCAAAUUCAAAGCCGGGUUGGUCCACAUAAAGAGUUCUAGAAUACACAGAGAAAUCCUAUCUAAAAGAAAAAAGAAAGUUUUCACUAUAGCCAUUUGGAAAUAUAUUUUGUCAUUCUGCCUGAAGGCUGAAGCAUGGAAAAGCUGGCCUUUUACAACUAUGGGUUUUUAAAAAAAAAGAACAGUGGGAAGAUGCUGCAGGAGAGAUGGUUCAGUUUCCAGAAUCCCUGUAGGGUGACUCACAACUGAUUGACACCAGCUCCAGGGAAAUCCAAUGCCCUCUUCUGGCCUCAAAGGACACUGUACUCAUAUGCUAGUAUACUAUUUAAAAUAAAAAUAAAAUAUUCCAGAGCCAGGCAUGACGCUGCAUGCCUUCAAUCCCAGCAUUUAGGAGGCAGAGGCAGGCAGAUCUCU